RNAcentral lists this ribosomal RNA (254 nucleotides) under uncultured bacterium. RNAcentral describes it as "partial 16S ribosomal RNA". It matches the Rfam family "Bacterial small subunit ribosomal RNA", at positions 524 to 776 of the family's 1533-position model. The record is from RNAcentral.
UACGUAGGGUGCGAGCGUUGUCCGGAAUUAUUGGGCGUAAAGAGCUCGUAGGCGGUUCGGUAAGUCGGGUGUGAAAACUCUGGGCUCAACCCAGAGAGGCCACCCGAUACUGCUGUGACUAGAGUGCGGUAGGGGAGCGGGGAAUUCCUGGUGUAGCGGUGAAAUGCGCAGAUAUCAGGAGGAACACCAGCGGCGAAGGCGCCGCUCUGGGCCGUAACUGACGCUGAGGAGCGAAAGCGUGGGGAGCGAACAGG